CAGGGACCCCACUUUGAGAACUGCUGACUAGAAAACAUGUCACCACUUUUAGGGGUCUGUCCCCUCAGCUGUCACCCUCCUCUCUCCGAUUGCCAGGGCCAUGCCGUGGGAGCCGGGGUCCCAGUUCUGUGUGAGCAACUGUUGGGUUGAGCUUUAUUGCUCUUAUCCAUCCUGAUUUAUCAGACCCUUUCGAAAAGGAAGUUCGUGGGUGCCAACGCACCUGUGUGGGCCCUGCAUUCCAGGAGCUGUUGUCACGUCCUCUCUCCCCUCCCCCGGGUGUGGCAUCUCUCUUUACUUGGACUUUCCUUUCUAGAAGGGAGGGCCAGGCCAGAGCUUCCUGGAUCUCCUAAGUGGAAUUUGCUCUGAGGCCUGCGUCACAAGUGCGCCUGGGUUGUGUAAGGCAGGAAUGUGGAAAAUAGUUAGAAUUUGAUAAAAGCAUUGUGGAGGAGGGGCACCCUCUCACUCCGAGGGCUGUGCCGGCCACAAGCUUGUUCGCAGCGCCUGAAUUUCAGCCUUUCUGGAGAAGCAUGAAGCCCAGAGAAACAGCACAGAGAAGAGUUUAUAUUCCUGUUUCUUCAGUUUGAAGACUGAACCCUAAUCUCAUUUCUCUCCAUCAUGCCUCCCCACCCCCAAAUCCUCAAGCUAAAGCUGAUCAAGAUCUACGUGUGGAAUGAAAAGCUAGUCCCGUGCCUGGGAGAAUUCAUACUCAGAUCUGGAACAGCUCUGGCCCCGGGUCAGUGUGCUUGAGCAAAUGAGGGCGAGCCGUCAGCAUCUGCGUAGUUCCGAGGCCGAGCGCAAGGCAGCACAGCUCUGCCCGGCCUGGCGAGGGGCGACCCAGCCCGAUGGCGCAGCCCGUGCCGCCGAAACGCAGGACACGUGAAAUAUAUUCAGUCUGAGCAAGACGCAGGCUGCUCUGUGGAGACUCUGCUGCCAGCCCUCUCUUGAGACGGAGGUUGAGCAGGGCAACUGGGUAGAUGUGUGCCUCACCUGGACAGAAAAUGGGAGAUAAGCAGGUAACAGUUUGAUGGACUAAGGGAUGCCCAGAGAGCUGGUAAAAUGUGAUUCCUGGGAGCGUCUGUGAGGCUGUUUCUGGAAGAGAUUAGCAUUUGAGUCGGUAGACUGAGUAAAGGAGAUGGCCCUCCCCAACGCAAGUGGGCAUCACCCAAUCUGUUGAGGGCCCGGAAGGAACAGUAAGGCGGAAGAAGGUCAAAUUUGCCCUCUGCUUGAGCCGGGACGUCCAUCUUCUCCUGUCCUCGGACGGCGGUGCUCCUGGUUCUCAGGCCUUCGGACUCAGAUUAGGAUUUAUACCAUCGGCUUUCGUGGUUCAUCCAGUUUACAGAGGGCAGAUCGCGG
This 1353-nucleotide long non-coding RNA is filed under the name Equus caballus (horse). RNAcentral describes it as "lncRNA (ENSECAG00000035023.3)". The record is from RNAcentral. Lineage: Eukaryota; Metazoa; Chordata; Mammalia; Perissodactyla; Equidae.